GAUCUGGUCAGGACGAACGCUGGCGGCGUGCCUAACACAUGCAAGUCGAGCGGGGACAUGGAGUAGCAAUACGAAAUGUCUAGCGGCGGACGGGUGAGUAACGCGUGAGCAACCUGUCCCAGUCAGGGGGAUAACGAGCCGAAAGGCUCCCUAAUACCGCAUGAGACCACAGCAUCACAUGGUGCAGGGGUCAAAGGAGAGAUCCGGACUGGGGUGGGCUCGCGUCUGAUUAGCUAGUUGGUGAGGUAAAGGCCCACCAAGGCGACGAUCAGUAGCCGACCUGAGAGGGUGAUCGGCCACAUUGGAACUGAGACACGGUCCAAACUCCUACGGGAGGCAGCAGUGGGGAAUAUUGGGCAAUGGGGGAAACCCUGACCCAGCAACGCCGCGUGAAGGAAGAAGGUCUUCGGAUCGUAAACUUCUAUCCUUGGUGAAGAUAAUGACGGUAGCCGAGAAGGAAGCCCCGGCUAACUACGUGCCAGCAGCCGC
Molecule: ribosomal RNA, 489 nt
Filed under: uncultured bacterium
Lineage: Bacteria
Description: bacterial SSU rRNA
Rfam family: Bacterial small subunit ribosomal RNA
Source: RNAcentral